GGAGGAGUGGCCGAGCGGCUGAAGGCAACGGUCUUGAAAACCGUCGUAGGGCAACCUACCGUGAGUUCGAAUCUCACCUCCUCCGCCA
RNAcentral lists this transfer RNA (88 nucleotides) under Limnobaculum zhutongyuii. Its description in RNAcentral is "Pragia sp. CF-458 tRNA-Ser". It matches the Rfam family "tRNA". From Rfam's summary of the family: Transfer RNA (tRNA) molecules are approximately 80 nucleotides in length. Their secondary structure includes four short double-helical elements and three loops (D, anti-codon, and T loops). RNAcentral also lists the same sequence under 2 other names. Lineage: Bacteria; Pseudomonadati; Pseudomonadota; Gammaproteobacteria; Enterobacterales; Budviciaceae. The record is from RNAcentral.